RNAcentral lists this ribosomal RNA (274 nucleotides) under uncultured bacterium. Its description in RNAcentral is "partial 16S ribosomal RNA". It matches the Rfam family "Bacterial small subunit ribosomal RNA", at positions 523 to 796 of the family's 1533-position model. The record is from RNAcentral.
AUACGGAGGGUGCAAGCGUUGUUUGGAAUUAUUGGGCGUAAAGAGCAUGUAGGCGGACUAUUAAGUCUGGUGUGAAAGCCCGGGGCUCAACCCCGGAAGUGCAUUGGAUACUGGUAGUCUUGAGUAUGGGAGAGGAAAGUGGAAUUCCGAGUGUAGGAGUGAAAUCCGUAGAUAUUCGGAGGAACACCAGUGGCGAAGGCGGCUUUCUGGACCAAUACUGACGCUGAGAUGCGAAAGCGUGGGGAGCGAACAGGAUUAGAAACCCUAGUAGUCC